Molecule: small RNA, 273 nt
Filed under: Piliocolobus tephrosceles (Ugandan red Colobus)
Lineage: Eukaryota; Metazoa; Chordata; Mammalia; Primates; Cercopithecidae
Description: Metazoan signal recognition particle RNA (ENSPTEG00000002426.1)
Source: RNAcentral
ACUGGGAGCAGUGGCUUAUGCCUGUAAUCCCAGCACUUUGGGAGGCUGAGGCAGACGGAUCACUUGAGGUCAGGAGUUUGAGACCAGCCUGGCCGACAUGGUGAAACCCUGUCUCUACUGAAAAUACAAAAAUUAGCUGGGCAUAGUGGCAAGCCACUGUAAUCCCAGCUACUCAGGAGGCUGAGGCAGGAGAACCCAGGAGGCAGAAGUUACAGUGAGCCAAGAUCAUGCCACUGCACUUCAGCCUGGGCAACAGAGUGAGACUCUGUCUCA